UAUAUUUUCCUUGCCAGAUUUUGCGGGUGAAGUGCAGGAGGCAUUAAAACCAGUGCUUAAUGCUUACAUCAAGGGAGAUGUUGAAACACUGAAGAAGUACUGCUGCUCUCAGCUGAUUGAACGCUGUAAAGCCGAACAUAAUGCUUACAAAAGCAUGGUAUCUUUUUUGAUAAGAAGAUCCUGCAUAUAUCUGAUUUAGAAAUAAGAGAAGCCAAGAUGUUGGAAUCAUCUCCCGUCAUUAUUGUAGCGUUUCAAACACAGCAAAUUUACUGUGUACGUGAUAGGAAUGGGGUAAUUACAGAAGGAGGCAAGG
Long non-coding RNA from Trifolium pratense (red clover), 313 nucleotides. RefSeq lists it as uncharacterized. Lineage: Eukaryota; Viridiplantae; Streptophyta; Magnoliopsida; Fabales; Fabaceae. The record is from RefSeq and is a predicted model, not a curated record. The transcript has 4 exons.